GGACGACGCUGGCGGUGUGCUUAACACAUGCAAGUGGUGCGACGAACCAGAGCUUGCUCUGGGGCAAAGCCGCGAACGGGUGAGUAACACGUGGGUAAUCUACCCCGAUGACCGGGACAACCCGAGGAAACUCGGGCUAAUACCGGAUGUGGUACGGAGACAUAAGUCUCUUUACUAAAGGUAGCUUCGGCUUCCGCAUUGGGAGGGGCCCGCGGCCCAUUAGCUAGUUGGUGGGGUCAAGGCCUACCAAGGCAACGAUGGGUAGCUGGUCUGAGAGGACGAUCAGCCACACUGGGACUGAGACACGGCCCAGACUCCUACGGGAGGCAGCAGUGGGGAAUCUUGCGCAAUGCGCGAAAGCGUGACGCAGCAACACCGCGUGAGGGAAGACGGCCUUAGGGUUGUAAACCUCUUUCAGAUGGGACGAAGGUGAUGCGGUGAAUAGCCGAUGUCAUUGACGGUACCGUCAGAAGAAGCUCCGGCUAACUACGUG
RNAcentral lists this ribosomal RNA (493 nucleotides) under uncultured bacterium. RNAcentral's name for it is "bacterial SSU rRNA". It matches the Rfam family "Bacterial small subunit ribosomal RNA", at positions 33 to 507 of the family's 1533-position model. The record is from RNAcentral.